This 4559-nucleotide long non-coding RNA is filed under the name Sus scrofa (pig). Its description in RNAcentral is "lncRNA (ENSSSCG00065053864.1)". The record is from RNAcentral. Lineage: Eukaryota; Metazoa; Chordata; Mammalia; Artiodactyla; Suidae.
UUUUUUUUGUUUUUUUUUUUUUUUUGGUCUUUUAUAGGGCCGCACCCACAGCAUGCAGAGGUUCCCAGGCUGGGUGUCUAAUCGGAGCUGUUGCUGCUGGCCUACACCAGAGCCACGCCAGAUCCGAGCUGCAUCUUCCACCUACACCACAGCUCGUGACAAUGCCAGAUCCUUUACCCACUGAGCGAGGCCAGGGAUCGAACCCGCAACCUCAUGGUUCCUAGUUGGAUUCGUUUCCCCUGCGCCAAGAUGGGAACUCCUGUUUUUUCGUUUUCGCACUGUAUUGAUUUACAAUGUUGUUCCAAUUCUGCUGUACACAGAGGUAGUUAAAACAAUGCUUACUGAUAGCAAUGAGUAAGAGUUUCAGGUGUAACACCUGUGUUUUCCUCUUUUUCUGAACUGGAGGGAAAAAAUUAACACAUUUAUUUAAAAGGAAUAUCUCACAAAAACCUCAUAUAUAAAGACAAAAUAAAAAGAGAUUUUUUAAAAGAGGGUACAAAUGGGAAGAUAAGGGAUACAGAAGACUCAAAGGGAGCCGACUGGCUUUCUAGAGGAUUCACUAGGAAUCCAUCUGUUUACCAAAAUCUUGACGUGUGGCUCCCUAUGGAGAACGAAGCCGGCAAACCGUUUUGAAGAGAUCAUAGCUAGAGAGAGGACAUUGCCCUGAUCAAAGAGAGCUUAGAGAAUAACUGUUUAUUGAUUAAUAAUUGAAAUUAGCAUUCGUUCAUUCGUUCAUUCAUUCAUUCAACGAUUGCUUGCAAAGUCCAUACAAUACACUAAGAACUAUGACACAUUCUGUGGACAUGAAAAUGAACAAAACCUAUUCCUGCUUUCGAAGGGUCACAUGUCUCAGGUGUAAGUCCUCCAGAGGCUGGCAAGUCAGGCACACUGGGGAGGCUGGUCAUUCACAGGACAAUAAGAAACAGUGUCAGAGUAGGAGAAUUCAUGAUCCCCAGCUCCUAAAAUAUUCAUUAGCAGUUCUGUUGUUGUUUUGUUCUGUUUCUGUUUACAAAAAAAUAUGUCUGGGGACUGGCCAGAGGCUACAUUGACUAUAGGCUCUCUGGUGUCCAAUCUCUGGUCUUAACAGUUAUGGAAACAAUUGAAGGUUAUGUAAACGUUUCUAUAGGAUAAAGGAAACUUGAAUGCUCUGAAUUCAUUCAUAAGUGGGAUCCUCAAAGAAGUGAUCCCUCAGUGAUAAAGACCUUCCCCAGGUAAAUGGAGAGGAGAUGCCCAGUCAUGGACCCAUGUGUUCUAAAGCCUGAAGGUCAGGAAAGAUCCUGGAGCAUGGACAGCAUGCAAGAGCUCUCCUGUGUCCAGAACACUGAGUCUCAGGGAAAAUGAAAAACGAGGCUACAGGGUUCAGCUUUUCAGCAAGGUUGUGUCCAUGCCUGUGUGCUUUCUGCUUCAACAGUUUAAUUUCAAACGUAACACAUUUAACAAUAAGCACUAAAACAAAGGAAGCCAAGGUACACCUUACAAUGCUGGGUUCAGGCCUGCAACUCACUGCUGUCUCGAGAUUUUCUUCUGCUGGCUAAGCUUCUUAUGUUUGGCAGAAAACAACCUUGUCAAAUGUAAGCUUGAUUCUAACAGGAAAAAUUAAGACACUCUAGUUCCUGUUAUUUACUACAAAGAUGCCGAAAUCCAGAUAUGUGCUUACCUGACAAUGCAGGCGGAGAAACUCCUUAGGUUUUCCUAUGAAAUUCACUAUUUAGGUUGAGCACAUUAAUAAAACUGAUAGGAAUCAAAAUGAAACUGGCGAGACAAGGGAAAAAAGGGCAAGAUAUUCCCCUGACUAGAUUUCUACUCUUUGUUUUCUAUUUAUCUAUCCCAAUUUACACUCCAAAGAUCAGAAGCUCUCUGAGGGCACAGCCAAUUUCCAAUCCUUCUUUCUACCCUCUAGAAUGUAUUGAAUAAUAAUAACACCUGAAGUGUACUCCUUACAUGAGCUCAACCAAUAGUUAGUCAAAUGAAUUGAACAUUUUGUUAUUAUCCAUUGCUGCAUAAUAAAUUGUACCCAAAAUUAAUAGCUUGAAACAAUAAAUAUUUAUCAUUGCACAAUUUCUGUAGGUUAGAGAUCCGAGUAUGGCUUGGCUAGUGAGAGCAGAUCAGAGUCUCCCCUAAGGCUGCAGUCAAAGUGUUGGCUGGGCCUGUAGUCAUCUCAAGGCUCAACCGGGAGGACCUCCACCCAAAUCCAUUCAUUUGGUGUCCUCAAGCGUCCCCUCCCAAGCUCAAACAUAUGGGCCCCACCACGGUGCUGCCAUGCAAUCUGUGCACUGGCUUCCCCAGAGCAAGUAAUCCACUAGGGAAUGUGGGAGAACACCCGACAUCAAAGCCACAGUUUUCUCCCAAGGCAAGAGACAUAAAAACAAAAAUAAACAAAUGGGAUCUAAUCAAACUGACAAGCUUUUGCACAGCAAAGGAAAUCAUAAAAAACAAGCCAAAAGACAACUUACAGAAUGGCAGAAAAUAGUAACAAACAAUACAACUGACAAGGGCUUAAUCUCCAAACAACUCAUACAACAAUAAAAAAACAACAAUCCAAUCAAAAAAUAGGAAGAAGACCUAAAUAGACAUACAGAUGGCCAGUAGGCACAUGAAUAAAUGCUCAACAUCACUAAUCAUGAGAGAAAUGCAAGUCAAAACUACAAUGAGGUACCACCUCAUCCCAGUCAGAAUGGCCAUCAUUAAUAAGCCUAUAAACUAAAAAUGCUGGAGAAGGUGUGGAGAAAAGGAAACCCCUCUAUACUACUGCUAGGAAUGUAAAUUGGUAUAACCAUGGUGGCAAACAGUGUGGAGGUUCCUCAGAAAACUAAAUAUAGAGAUACUAUAUGAUCUUGCAAUCCUACUCCUGGGCAUGUAUCAGGAUGAAACUACAAUUCAAAAAGAUACAUGCAGUCAUGUGUUCAUAGCAGCACUACUCACAAUAGCCAAGACCUGGAAUACAACUGGAAACAACCCAAAUGUCCAUCAACAGAAGAACGGAUUAAGGAGAUGUUGUGCAUAUACACAAGGGAAUGCUACUCAGGCAUAAAAAAAAAGAAGGAAAUAAUGCCAUCUGCAGCAACAUGGAUGCAACUAGAGAUUAUCAUAUUAAGUGAAAUAAGUCAGAAAGCGAAAGACAAAUACCAUAUGCUAUCACUUAUAUGUGGAAUCUAAAAUAUGGCACAGAUGAACCUAUUUACAAAACAGAAAUAGACUCAGAGACAUAGGGAGCAGACUUGCGGUUCCCAAGGGGGAGGGGGAAGGGAAUGGAAUAGAUUGGGAGUUUGUGGUUAGUAGAUGCAAACUCUUCUAUUUAGAAUGGAUUGGCAAUGAGGUCCCACUGCAUAGUGCAGGGAACUGUGUCCAAUCUUUUGGGAUAGAAUAAGAUGGGGUACAAUAUGUGAAAAAGAAUAUCUAUAUCUAUAUCUAUCUAUAUAUAGAUAGAUAGAUAUACCUGGGUUACUUCCCUGUACAGCAGAAAUUGGCACAACAUGGUAAAUCAAUUAUAUUUUAACUUGAAAAUUUUUAAAAAGAAAGAAAAGCUACAGUUUUUUAUAACCUAAUCUCAGAAAUGACAAUUCCUUAUUUCUGCCAUAUUCCAUCAGUUACAAGUAAGUCAAUAACUCCAGCCCACACUCAAGGGCAAGAGACACCAAGGAAACACCAAGGAAUGGGGGUCACGGUGGGCCAUGUUUGAGGUUGCUUGCCAUAAACACCUUAAAGAAAAACUAGAAAAUAGGGGACACGGCUACUCUGGAUAAAAGCAGGAUACUCUUACUGAGGAAUAAGCUGACGGUGGAUAUGGGAGAGUAAAUUGCUGUAGAUCGAGCUGUUUUGCAGAGGUACUUUACCUCAUGACUUCUAAAAUCAUCAGUAAAAUCAACCUGAACAAGACAAAGGUGCUAAUGGAUUUUUUGGAGUGGAAAUCAAUGAAACAACUGACUAUGUUUUCAGAGUAUGGAAGCAAGUCAGAUAAGAUAACACAGAAGCAGAGGCAGAAGGAAGAAAAAGGCAGCAUAUCCUAGGGAAUCACAGAAGCUUGGGGGUUCUGUAGGGUAUCACACAGCUGUGUUAUGUGAGUUGAACCAGAUCUGAGGAGCAUAGAGAUUUCCAAUAUUUUCUUAAGUGCAUAUUUAUUUGUGAGAUUCCAUUUCCAUGACCAUUGCUUCUGUAAACUGAAGGCUCCAGGAUGUAAUGGGCUCUACUUCAUUAACUAAUUCAAAGGACUUGAGAAUUAGAUUUUUGGAGAAGAAAAAGAAAAAGAAGCAAGGAUGUCCUUGUUUUUUUCUAGCUCUUAGAACACUUAAUGGCACCAAGGAGAUCCUUUUUUUUUUUAGUGGACUAAAAGAGGAAGAAAAGAACGUGUUUACAUAUCUUGUCUCUGCACUGCAGUGAUCUAUUGUUACAUGACUGCCUUCCCUUCUGGAGGAAGUAGCUGAAGGCUAUUGCAUUAGACACCAGCACCUUCCAACCACAACACACAUUGCCUCCUGACAAAUUGCACAGAAACCUAUACAGGACUUGGCAUAAUAGGCUUACUCAAAAGGAUGAUUUGCAGCCCAAUCAUCCUCUCACAG